CUACUGAAUUGAAGUGAGUUCUAUUUUUGAACGUGAAAAAACAACAAAAAAAGAUUUGACCAAAAAAUAAAGUAAAAUUCUACAUAUUUGAAAAGCAGUAGUAAGGAGCAAAACGUAACCUACUCCUAUCUCUAAUGCAUGCUAACCUUAACAUCAAUAUAGUACUAUAAUAAUAUAAUAAUAGUAAGUCCGAAAUAUUCAUAUGAACACAUCUGUAUUCUUAUAUACAAUAAUACAAAUGAUAAUAUCUGUAACAGCUGUUCCUUGGAUUUUGAUGAGAAAGGGAAAAAAAGAGGAUUGGGACACCAAGGCGUUCUCUUCUGGGAAGAUUUUGGAGUUGGGGUCUGGAAGUACCAAGUGAGUCAUCUACACAAAACACGAAAUGAGAGAACAUCUUUCUUAAAAGUUCUAUUUAUGACACAGGCUCAUUAUAAAUUACAUCAGGCUAUGGCCAAGCACCUAUGCUCAAGUUUGUGGCUGUUUAUUUACUUAACUCCAGAUGGGGGAAGCCUUUAACUGGCCACUAAUUAGGGUAGGGUGUCCAAUAGAGAGAGAGAGAGAGAGUUGAGGAAACAUAUCGAAGAAAAACUUAUUUUAUUUAUUUUUGAUUAUUUUUAAAUCUAUGAGGUGGCCUUAAUGGGGUUGAUGCACAGCAAGUGCACUUGCAAAGAAAAAAAAAAAAAAACACACAUUUGGAUCAUUCCUGCAAGUGACUUAUAUUUUUUUAUUUUAAUUAAAAAUGUAAUUUAAUUUCCUGAACAGGGUAAUAUAUUUAACAUAAUUUCUAGUUUUUUUCUUGUUGUUGCUGGGUUUUUUUCCUGAUAUUUUGGUCGGCGUGUGUUGACUUUCUCCACACUUUAUAUUUAAUACAUGUCUUACGAAGGGGGUGGUUAAUGUCAUGUAUGAAUUGGGGGGUAGAACUGAGGGAGAGCAGAAAGUCGAGAGGAAGUGAUGUUGAUGGCUGGUUUGGCCUCCAGGAAGUCGCAUCAAAGGAGCGUUUGUUGCCGAGACCAGCUGUGUGUGCGCGUGUGUGUUUGGGAGGGUUGCAUCAGUGGUGACAGAUGAACCAGCUUCCUGUGGAAUGAAUGUAGGGCAUUCAUCACAGUGCAGCUGUUUCUUUCUGUCUUUGUGUGGCACCACCAUUUGCAUACCACCUUUAAUGCUGGGACUUUUUUUUUUUUUUUUUUUCUGCAAGCACAUUUUCAAUCAUUUAAGCAAACCUUUAUUUAUACAGCACACAUAGUAUAACACUUCAAAUAUCUAUUGCUUCUAAAACUGUGACUGUUGAUGCUAACUGUCAAUGGCAUUUUGUAUUUUCUGUUAGCAUACUUUAUCAAAAGGCAGCAAGGCUAUGCUGUUUUAAAUACACAAUGUGUAAUUCGAGUUUUAUGCUUCGUUUGACAGUUAACGUUCACUGGGAGUGGCAUCAAACAGCUUGAAGCCUCAUUUUUGGGAGAAUAUUUGCCAAAUUGCGGCUUACUGUGAAGUGCGUUGAAUUGAGUCAUCUGCCACCAUACUCUUGCUCAUAUCUGAAGUUUGUGCUCACAAGUCAAAGCAAAACAAUCGUCAGAACAAUGGCUUUAUCUCCAAAAACUUCCAGGUCGGGUCACUUGUAUCUCAAGGCACCACUGCAUACUGUAAAAACGCAUCAAAACUAUCGCUACAGUAUAAACCACAGGUUUCCGUGACAGACAGAUUUAUAUGUUCCCCAAAAAAAUAUCCGUAAUAUAUACAAACAAUUAACAACAAUAUAGCCUUUUGUUUUCUUUCCAACACGUGUUUUAUAUUUAAUACAGAGGAGUUAUUGUUUCAUCUGACAUACAGUGCUGUUUUUGUACGUAUUUGUCAUUCAAACAGCCAUCUUCCAUCGGUCUGUGAGGUAGUUAUGGUUGAGCCCCUUGAAUUCUGCCUAGCAACAAGUGAUCUGGCAAACACACUCCAUCUGGGAGAGAGUUAUGCACUUUUUUGUGUGUUUUUUUCCCUUUUCUCUUUCUUCUUUUGCUGUCGCACCCAACCCCCAUCCGACCGCCACCCUGCCCAGCCCACCUACACGCCCACCCAUCCCCAUCCCCUCGCUGAUGCAAAACAUUAGCCGUCGAGUUGAAGCCGGCGGCCCCGUCAAUUGGAACUCAGCAAUGGCGUUAGCCGAGUGAGGGGAGAUUGUGCAGUAAUUAAGAGCAGCAGCUGCCUUGUCAGUGGGUAACGUCACUGCUGCACUUGGCUGAUGAGCUCCCACUCGGGCGAGAACGACAAGAAGCGACAAGGGACUGGUGAGGUUGUAUCUACCACUGAAAGUGGUGGAAAGGGCAUGAGCGAACCGGCAGAGGGAUUGAGAGGCCUCCCCGCAGUGGAUGAGCAGCUGGUCUGCAGGCUGGUAUGGUCCGACUCCAUCUGCAGGUUACCCGCCACACCUGAAGAGUGCAAUACACAAUACACGCUUCCUUUUCUCGGGCUAUUUCAUUAAAUAUGGCUUUUGUCACUUGAUCAGAAACCAGUGGAGGGCCGUGCAUAUGGUACCCAUGACGAUGGCACCUCUCGCAAACAAAACCUUACAGACAGAGCGAUUGCAAAAAAAAGGGUGAAUGGUUUGUAUGAUGAUUCUUCUUCUCUACUGCCGUAGUUUGCAUGUGUGAAGCGUCAGUCGAAAAGAUUUGACAUGAUUUAAACUGCUUGGAAAGUAGACGGCACGCCAGCUGUAAUGAACAUUUCAAAACGAUUAAACAAUAGACAUGGUAGAAAUUCAAGACAUACAGACUAAUUGACUUUUGUAUUUUUUUUAAUUAAUGGCACAGAUGCUCUUUUUGACAGUGAAAUGGAAGGAGCACUGAAGAGCUGCCGUUAGCUAGCAGGCUAACCAUUUUGUUUUGCUAAAUGACUCAAAGACAACCCAACUAAGCAUUUUAUACAUACCUGCUGCUGUGAGAAAAUUCCUUCCACAAACUCGAUGAUGUAGGUACGGUUCCCAGUCUGUCCCUGGAUAGGUUUGCGAUCGUCUCUGUGCAACUAUUUACAUCCACUCAAUUGAAUCUCCACAGGUUCCGCUGUUAGAUUUUGUGAAAUUGAAUUGAAAAAACAAAAAUGAAACUCAACCUUUUGGGGUAUAUCUGGCGGCCCAGCUCCAAACACAAGCUGCUGUCGUUAUUUCAGUUCAGGUCAGCGGGAGCUUCUCGUUUCUCUCCCACCUGGAAGUACCCUGGUGCUUCCUCUUCCCAAACAUUACGAAAUGGUCGAUACCACCACUAUUAGAUCGCAAGUAUAGAAAACAAUACUAUACAAAAACGCAAUUAAAUGCCACGUACAUCAUCUGGGGCAUUUCUGAAUCAACAUUAAGGUAAAUAACUUCAUACACACACACACACACACACACAUUAUAACCGAUUAUUAAAUGUAAUGUGUACAGAUCGUUACAGGCGUUUAGGUAGUCCAACUUGACUUGCUCGGACCAACCAAUCAGAGAAUGGGAAAAUGCUGAUGUCAAGAGCCAGCGAUCUGGCCCUGUGAGGAUGAAUUUGAAAUCUGAUUGGUUAAGGCCUUGGGCAGAUUAGAUUGACAUGGCAGCUCAUAGAGGCACACUGGAAGCAGAACAUCCAAGCUCCGAAAUGAACAGAACAGACUGUUGGUAAUGAAUUAUUGCAAUUACAUGGAAGAAAUUCAGGUUGUAAAUGCAGGUCAGUGCUUCUGAUAUUGCUCAGGCUAGCAGUGAAGGCCUUCCUGGCCCUGACUCCUCACCAUUGUCAGAACCAGCCUUCAACCUUGAUGCAUCCCGAAGAGGGACGUAGGGGGACACUAAAAAAGGCCCCACUGUAUUUAUGUCGCCUUCUCCAUUUCCAUACUGUGAUGAUUCAAACUGAACUUUACGGCAUGAUGGAAUCGUGGCAAUGGAGAAACAAUGUCUUCUGUACCAUUUUGGGGAAAUAUGAGCCCUCAAAAUGCAGCUCUGUGCCACAUAUUUUCUCAUACAUAAUAAAAACAAGUCGACUUUUGA
This is a long non-coding RNA of Phyllopteryx taeniolatus (common seadragon), 3985 nucleotides long. RefSeq lists it as uncharacterized. The transcript has 2 exons. The record is from RefSeq and is a predicted model, not a curated record. NCBI's taxonomy places the organism in Eukaryota, Metazoa, Chordata, Actinopteri, Syngnathiformes, Syngnathidae.